GUGCAGAAAGGAGAGAAGAAAAACAAAAGCUAACAAUCAAACGAGAGGUCUAGAACGGACACAACAAAAAGCACAGACUUCACAGGAUACAUAAAUAAAGCGAAGCGUGAAACCGAGGGAGAAAAACAAAGUUAAUCGAAGAAAAGUGUUUGAGUAGAAGUCACAUCCCUAACUGAAGAAGAACAAGAAAGAAGAAGCAAAGAAGAUAUUGGAAUUUGGGGAUUUGGAUAGCGGAACUUGAGGGGUGGCGAUUUUGUGGUUUGAAUUGUGAGAGUGACAAAAAUGAAUCAUGAUUACUGGAUCUGUUGGGAUAGUUGUAGAUGGGCACCCUGACGACAAACAAUCUGACCAUGUAGACACAAAGUCGUGGAUCCCUAGGAGGAGCCUCUGAAUGUGUCGAGGGAUUUGGAUGCCUGAUCAGAGUGUAGAGUAUGCUACGA
Molecule: long non-coding RNA, 440 nt
Organism: Hibiscus syriacus
Lineage: Eukaryota; Viridiplantae; Streptophyta; Magnoliopsida; Malvales; Malvaceae
Exons: 3
Source: RefSeq, a predicted model, not a curated record